This 502-nucleotide unclassified non-coding RNA is filed under the name plant metagenome. Its description in RNAcentral is "partial contains small subunit ribosomal RNA, internal transcribed spacer 1, and 5.8S ribosomal RNA". The record is from RNAcentral.
UUUCCGUAGGUGAACCUGCGGGAGGAUCAUUACCGAUUAAAAAGGGAUAUUACUCGAAGGGUGAGUAAUAUGAAUGCUCGGGAGUUUCUCUAAUGAUGCAGUGUCAAAGCUGUGUUGAAUGAAGCUCCUGUGCUAGUUUUAUCGAGCUCUGAAAUUGCAUGGCUUGUUCAUGUUUGUUGUGAGCUGGAUUGGACUCAAUCUGUUUCGGCCAUUGUCGCCGGAAUGGGCCCCUGUAUGAAAAGAAGGGGAAGCUGUUGGUGGAGAUGUUUGAAUUGUUUUAGGUAGGCCAUUGUGCGUAUUAAAGACUUGAUUCGCCAGCAAUUCAUAAAACUCCUGUUUAUAGUUUCCUUUUUGUAGUAAUGCAGGUUUAAAAUAGCUAUAUCUCUCCACAUUUAUUUGAGGAUAGAGUAUUUAGCAAAGCAAAACGUUUGUGAUUGAGAACAUUCAGUAAAAGAAUUGUUAAAAUAAAAAUUAACCUCGAGUGGUGGAUCACUCGGCUCGU